AUGCUUCACGAAAUUAUUGCUCUGUUUGACUCAUUCCAUGACUUCCUUGCAUUCAUUGGCACCUGCCGCUCUUGGCGCGCUGCAGUCUCUACCUUUCUCUCUGUGCAUACAUUCAGCUUCCCGCCGCUCCACUUCAAACCAGAUGGUCCUUAUGUUCGUCCACAUAGCGGCCCUAUCAAGCCCAUCCUUUUAUCUAAUUGCAAAUGGCAGCUCAGUGAUCCUAGCAAGAAAAACUCAUCCCUUGCGUGUUCAGUGCCUAAAAGUAGUCCAAAUAAAAUGCACUAUUUGGGCUGCUCGCAUGGGUAUCUUAUCUUCUCCUACAAGGUUCACUGCCUCCUUGUCGAUGUGUACACUGGUAGCAAGGUGAUGCCCCCCAAACUCCCACGUAACAAUGAUCUUGGGUACUUUUGUGGCAUAGGCAUCCUUACGGCCCCAUUGAUUUCACCCAACUCUCGCCUCCUCCUUUUCUCUAGAGAUUCAAUGUUUGAGUGGCAGGUUGGAACGAACUCCUGGUCAGAGCACACCCUUACUCUUGAUUAUGAACGCAUCUAUCAGAUUGUGUUCUUCAAAGGUGAUAUCUUUGUCAUAGAUGCUCUCCUUAGGCUCCACACUAUACACUUCACACCUGAGUUCCGCAUGCAAGAAAUAGCAAUUAAAAAGGAGUUUGUGCCUAUGAACUCAUGGUUGGUGGUCUGUGGUGACAUGCUUCUCUUGAUUGACCGAAGGUCCAGCUCUGGCGGAUUGGGUGGCUCAUCUAAUGCAAUCUUUAGGGUCUCUCGCCUCAACUUCUCUGUCGAGCCAGCUAAGUGGGUGAAGUUGGAGAAGUUGGAUAAUUAUGCUCUGUUUGUUAGCCCUGAUAGAAGGAAUCCUACAUUUUGUUGCAUGAGCCCGUAA
RNAcentral lists this ribosomal RNA (894 nucleotides) under Triticum aestivum (bread wheat). RNAcentral's name for it is "partial small subunit ribosomal RNA". The record is from RNAcentral. Lineage: Eukaryota; Viridiplantae; Streptophyta; Magnoliopsida; Poales; Poaceae.